RNAcentral lists this unclassified non-coding RNA (224 nucleotides) under Glomeraceae sp. RNAcentral describes it as "partial contains 5.8S ribosomal RNA and internal transcribed spacer 2". The stretch from base 1 to 71 matches the Rfam family "5.8S ribosomal RNA", at positions 84 to 154 of the family's 154-position model. The record is from RNAcentral. Lineage: Eukaryota; Fungi; Glomeromycota; Glomeromycetes; Glomerales; Glomeraceae.
GUGAAUCAUCGAAUCUUUGAACGCAAAUUGCACUCUCUGGUAUUCCGGAGAGCAUGCCUGUUUGAGGGUCAGUUAAAUAAAAAUCGGGGUUUUUGCGACCUUUGGUGGUGCCGCUGCGGCAUUGGGUCGUCUUUACCUUUCGGUUAAGUGUCUUAAAAUUUUUGAAUGAUAUCUGAACGUAUUUAAAUUUAUUUGGUACGUCUUGGUAAUCUCGUGUGUUUAUU